RNAcentral lists this ribosomal RNA (253 nucleotides) under uncultured bacterium. Its description in RNAcentral is "partial 16S ribosomal RNA". It matches the Rfam family "Bacterial small subunit ribosomal RNA", at positions 524 to 776 of the family's 1533-position model. The record is from RNAcentral.
UACGGGGGGAGCAAGCGUUGUUCGGAUUUACUGGGCGUAAAGGGCGCGUAGGCGGCACCGCAAGUCGACUGUGAAAUCUCCGGGCUUAACCCGGAAAGGUCAGCCGAUACUGCGGGGCUAGAGUGCAGAAGGGGCAACUGGAAUUCUCGGUGUAGCGGUGAAAUGCGUAGAUAUCGAGAGGAACACCUGCGGCGAAGGCGGGUUGCUGGGCUGACACUGACGCUGAUGCGCGAAAGCGUGGGGAGCAAACGGG